UUUGCCAUCUGAUCUCUCUACCCUGUCUGUCAGCUGAGAGGAGUUUCCGGGACGCUAACUUUGUUGCUAACUGUAGUUUCUAGAGAGUUAAUUUUGUUCAGCGUCCCCAAAGAAGCAAGCACCACACAGAAAUGGAUGGACUUUGUAUCGCAGCCAGCAAAAUCCGAAAACGACCGUGUAGUUUGUUCACGCCACAACACAGAGGACCGAAGUACGAAGCGGGCUAUGCGGCUAAGCUAAUGCUAAUGGACCGUGUUGUUUCAUCAAAACAAAGCCACGUGGAGGACUCGAGCACAAGCUUACAUCACAUCAUAUGCCUUCAGCUGCUAAGCUUCUGAGAAGAGACAAUGCACUGUGAAUCCCGUGGAAAAGAAGCCAACAUUCAAGUAUGUCAGUGACCCGGUGAGGCCUGUUUGAGGAGAUGUUGCCCUGCAGAUACACAGAUGAGCUCGAACGAAUCACCAUCCCAGAAAACCCCUGUGCCCAGUUCCCGAAUCCGUCAAAAGAAGAGGUCAUUACAAGAAAACACAUCGUACCUGUGUACCUGUCAGCACAAGACGGGAUGAUGGUCCUCACACGUCUUCCCAGAUUUUGCUGAUUCCAGUGUGGUAAUUCACAGAUGAAGACAAGUAUGACCUGUGAACCGUGUUGGGGGCGUGCAAUAAAAGUAACGUGUUAAGAGUAGUACAAUAAGCAGUAAUUGAGUAAUUUAACUGUAUAACAGAUUUGUAGUAAUAUAUCUGCAGUUACUAUGUGCAGUAACAUGUUACCACCUGAUAGAAACUGUUGACAUUUUCUCAGCGUUUUUUGACCCUCUGACAUGUUGGACUUCUGCAGUUUUUUGGGUGAAAGUAAUGCAAAAGUAAUGUUAUGCAUUUCUCUGCACAGGACAUAAUAUUUUACCACAUUAUAUUUUGGAAGUUACUUGCUCAACACUGCUUGUGAAAGUUCAAAGGAACACAACUAUUAACCACAUUUGUUUGAGUUUUUUUUUAAUUUUCAAUGUUCUUAUGGAACAGUGCACAUUACAUUAUCUAUACAAUUCUUUAUUUUUCCUGAUUUAUGUGAUUUUCUUGUAUUGACAUUGGGGAUCAUGUGUUUGUACAGACGGAGGUAAAAGAAAAUGAUUCAAUGUAGUAACACACAACUUUUAUGACAAGAAGCAAAACGUACUCUUCCUCUGUUUUCCUCACACAUCCACAGUCUGCUCUGUGUGUGCUGUGGAUGUCUGUGGACAUUCAGUUUGGUUUGAGGCCUGGAUUGUUAGUCAUGCAUGAUGCAGGACUUGAUUCAUUUUUCUUACAACCUUGUGUGGAAAAAAGAAAAACAAUUUUGAAAACAAACAGAUGUACUCAAGAAUUAACAUAGAUCAUUUCAUGUGCACACUAUUUUGUGAUUAUUUUUAUUAUAUUAAAUUAAUAUUAUUUGUAAGGGUUU
Long non-coding RNA from Plectropomus leopardus (leopard coralgrouper), 1437 nucleotides. RefSeq lists it as uncharacterized. NCBI's taxonomy places the organism in Eukaryota, Metazoa, Chordata, Actinopteri, Perciformes, Serranidae. The record is from RefSeq and is a predicted model, not a curated record.